Molecule: ribosomal RNA, 266 nt
Filed under: Clostridioides difficile
Lineage: Bacteria; Bacillati; Bacillota; Clostridia; Peptostreptococcales; Peptostreptococcaceae
Description: partial 16S ribosomal RNA
Rfam family: Bacterial small subunit ribosomal RNA
Source: RNAcentral
CUUGAAACUGGGAGACUUGAGUGCAGGAGAGGAGAGUGGAAUUCCUAGUGUAGCGGUGAAAUGCGUGGAUAUUAGGAGGAACACCAGUGGCGAAGGCGGCUCUCUGGACUGUAACUGACGCUGAGGCACGAAAGCGUGGGGAGCAAACAGGAUUAGAUACCCUGGUAGUCCACGCGGUAAACGAUGAGUACUAGGGGUCGGGGGUUACCCCCCUCGGUGCCGCAACAAACGCAUUAAGUACUCCGGCUGGGAAGUACGCUCGCAAG